RNAcentral lists this long non-coding RNA (1897 nucleotides) under Homo sapiens (human). Its description in RNAcentral is "long non-coding RNA NONHSAT173188.1". Lineage: Eukaryota; Metazoa; Chordata; Mammalia; Primates; Hominidae. The record is from RNAcentral.
AGGCUCCCAUGAUUCUGAAUGGAGUCUGUGUUAUCUGGAAAGGCUGGAUUGAUCUCCAAAGACUGGAUGGUAUGGGCUGUCUGGAGUUUGAUGAGGAGCGAGCCCAGCAGGAGGAUGCAUUAGCACAACAGGCCUUUGAAGAGGCUCGGAGAAGGACACGCGAAUUUGAAGAUAGAGACAGGUCUCAUCGGGAGGAAAUGGAGGUGAGAGUUUCACAGCUGCUGGCAGUAACUGGCAAGAAGACAACAAGACCCUAGUCCUGGUUCCAAUUUAGGUGGUGGUGAUGACCUCAAACUUCGUUAAUUAAUAGCACAGCAGAUGUGUGCUGCCCAUCUUUACAUACACAUUGCUUCUAGUUGGCAGAAAUAAUUGAUUAAAAGACCAGAAACUGUGAUAACUGGAGGUACUACGGUCUAUUUCUCAACCUUAGGCAGUAAUAGACAUCACAAACUGCCAUGGUUUUGCACUAUGAUUAUAAUACCUGCAUUUCUAAUUUUUUAAGCAUGUAGCCAGUAAUAAUUUGAAGUUUUUUUUCUAUGCAAGCUUACCUUGUUGGCAUUAUUUUAGGGAGUUGAAACUAUCAACUGUAAAGCUCCUUUUCUUCCACUUUAAUUUAAAAGUUCAUGUCAUUUAAAAACAAGUCAAGAAAUUAAAAUUGUAUCAGAGGGUUUUCUCUAAUCAUUUUUUCUAUUUUUUUUUUUGUACUUCUAGAUGUUUUGGUUAUACAGCUUCAUUUUAGAUGAGCAUUCUUAUUUUUUGUUUUGUUUGCCCCAUUUCCUUUUGUGUUUUUAUAGUCUAUAGCAUUUUAAAACUGCUGAUGUUGUUUGCAUUAUUUACAGGCUAAAAACUUAGUAGCAUAGAGCUGUCUGCCACAGCCUUCUGACAAAGUUUACAGUUAUUAAAGUUGCAGUAUCCUUUUAAAUGCUAGUAAUCAGCACUCUUUCUUUUUUUUUUUUUUAAUAGAGACAGGGUCUCGCAGUGUUGCCCAGGCUGGUCUCGAACUCCUGGCAUCAAGCGAUCCUCCUGCCUUAGCCUCCCAGAGUACUGGGAUUACAGGCUCUUUCUUUUUAAACAUAAAAGUUUUAAAUUGGUAUUAACUCUGUACUCUGCCCUAGAUUGUUUUAGCUUCUGUUCUGUAAUCAUGAGUUUGGUUGGAGAUAUUCUCCAUAGAUGAUCUUCUACUGAAAUGCCUAAAGAAGUCACAGGCUGGCUUCUGUUUUAUUCAGGGAUUUUUUUAAAAAGUCAAUCAGAAAAGGGAUACUGGAGCUUCUUCAUGUAUGUAACAGCAUAUUAAACUGGAGACAGUGAUGAAUCAGCUACAAAGGUAAUAUUGUAUUAAAAUCAUGUUUAAGAUAGCUGCUUUUAUGUGUAUUUUAUAUUGCAUGCUUUUGUAAAAACAUGCUGGGUGAUGAAAGAUUAGUUUUAGAGAGAAAAUGUUCAUCUGUGCAGAGGAUGCAUUUUCUUCCAUUAAUUCUGGAAAAAACGUUCACAGUUAUAUAUAUGGUAUUUUGCAAAAGGACUAUUAAUAGAACCUUUUGAGAUGAAUUAAUGUAAGAAUAUUUUUUAAAUAGGCUUACUGUCAAAUUGCAACUUUUUUUUUAGAUACAGAGUGGAAAACAGUGCUAAGUCAUUUGGCACCUCCUUACAAAUAUUUUUCAUGGUCACAUUUAUUAAAUGUUACUACAUUUCUGAAUUUUUGAAAAAUGUAUUUUAUCAUUAAAUGGCAUUAUUUUAAAGGGUGAAAAACUGACACAGUCAAUUCAGAAAAUGGACUGAAGUCUGAAUAAGGUCAUUGCAUUUAAAAAGCAUAUAACUGUACUUGACUGAUGAGGGAGGUGUUACUUUCAUUGUAUAUAGGUCUUAUUUCAUAAACAGAUAUCCUGUAUCAAAUAAAAGU